AACGCUAGCUACAGGCUUAACACAUGCAAGUCGAGGGGCAGCGAUAUCGAAAGCUUGCUUUUGAUAGGCGGCGACCGGCGCACGGGUGCGUAACGCGUAUCGAACCUACCUCAUACUCGGGAAUAGCCUUGCGAAAGUAAGAUUAGUGCCCGAUGUUUUCAAUAGCCCGCAUGAGUUGUUGAACAAAGAUUUAUCGGUAUGAGAUGGCGAUGCGUCCCAUUAGUUAGUUGGCGGGGUAACGGCCCACCAAGACAUCGAUGGGUAGGGGUUCUGAGAGGAAGGUCCCCCACAUUGGAACUGAGACACGGUCCAAACUCCUACGGGAGGCAGCAGUGAGGAAUAUUGGUCAAUGGGCGGAAGCCUGAACCAGCCAAGUAGCGUGCAGGACGACGGCCCUCUGGGUUGUAAACUGCUUUUAGUUGGGAAUAAAGUGCAGCUCGUGAGCUGUUUUGUAUGUACCAUCAGAAAAAGGACCGGCUAAUUCCGUGCCAGCAGCCGCGGUAAUACGGAAGGUCCAGGCGUUAUCCGGAUUUAUUGGGUUUAAAGGGAGCACAGGCGGACCUUUAAGUCAGCUGUGAAAUACGGCGGCUCAACCGUCGAACUGCAGUUGAUACUGGAGGUCUUGAGUGCACACAGGGAUGCUGGAAUUCAUGGUGUAGCGGUGAAAUGCUCAGAUAUCAUGAAGAACUCCAAUCGCGAAGGCAGGCAUCCGGGGUGCAACUGACGCUGAGGCUCGAAAGUGCGGGUAUCAAACAGGAUUAGAUACCCUGGUAGUCCGCACAGUAAACGAUGAAUACUCGCGAUUUGCGAUACACAGUAAGUCGCCAAGCGAAAGCGUUAAGUAUUCCACCUGGGGAGUACGCCGGCAACGGUGAAACUCAAAGGAAUUGACGGGGGCCCGCACAAGCGGAGGAACAUGUGGUUUAAUUCGAUGAUACGCGAGGAACCUUACCCGGGCUUGAACUGCCAGCGACGGUAGCAGAGACGCUACUUUCUUCGGACGCUGGUGGAGGUGCUGCAUGGUUGUCGUCAGCUCGUGCCGUGAGGUGUCGGCUUAAGUGC
This 1062-nucleotide ribosomal RNA is filed under the name uncultured Bacteroidales bacterium. RNAcentral describes it as "bacterial SSU rRNA". It matches the Rfam family "Bacterial small subunit ribosomal RNA", at positions 32 to 1087 of the family's 1533-position model. The record is from RNAcentral. Lineage: Bacteria; Pseudomonadati; Bacteroidota; Bacteroidia; Bacteroidales.